Molecule: transfer RNA, 70 nt
Filed under: Camelus bactrianus (Bactrian camel)
Lineage: Eukaryota; Metazoa; Chordata; Mammalia; Artiodactyla; Camelidae
Also listed under: 2 other names
Rfam family: tRNA
About the family: Transfer RNA (tRNA) molecules are approximately 80 nucleotides in length. Their secondary structure includes four short double-helical elements and three loops (D, anti-codon, and T loops). Further hydrogen bonds mediate the characteristic L-shaped molecular structure. tRNAs have two regions of fundamental functional importance: the anti-codon, which is responsible for specific mRNA codon recognition, and the 3' end, to which the tRNAs corresponding amino acid is attached (by aminoacyl-tRNA synthetases). tRNAs cope with the degeneracy of the genetic code in two manners: having more than one tRNA (with a specific anti-codon) for a particular amino acid; and 'wobble' base-pairing, i.e. permitting non-standard base-pairing at the 3rd anti-codon position.
Source: Rfam by way of RNAcentral
GGAUAUAGCUCAGUGGUAGAGCAUGUGCUUAGGAUGCAUGAGGUCCUGGGUUUAAUCCCCAGUACCUCCA